Salvia splendens (bonfire salvia) is the source of this 2842-nucleotide long non-coding RNA. RefSeq lists it as uncharacterized. NCBI's taxonomy places the organism in Eukaryota, Viridiplantae, Streptophyta, Magnoliopsida, Lamiales, Lamiaceae. The transcript is spliced from 3 exons. The record is from RefSeq and is a predicted model, not a curated record.
UCCUAAUCAAUUUUGGGCUAGCGAGAAUUAUUCAGAGAGCAUAUCAAUGGAGACAAAUUUUACACCUUUUCCGAACCCUAAUCUUAAACCCCUGCGAUUCUGUUCAAUCCAUUACAAAGGCGAUUUUGGUGAAGUUCGAGCUGCAAUGGCGCAUAAUAUUGCACGCAAGAAGUGGAGUGCAUGCAGGAUUCACUUAAACAAGAGAAGCCACUGUUUGUGUAUCUAAAGAGGCUAGCAAAUUGCAGUUACAACCUAUAAGUUGCUUUAGGUAUGACCAUACUCUCAUAAGUGCGAAAAGUGAAUAUGUAUACAUUAGUAACUUUAUGAUUUGUUAUUAAUGUUAUUAUGAGUUCAGACUUUAAUGUGUCCACUAGUAUUACUGUUGAACUUGUUGGAUAAGUGCUUCAUCUAGAAGCUUAGAGGAGUAUGAUUUUUAAUUGCUUUUCUACAACAUCCCUAAAUUUUUCCAGUUGAUCAAGUCUGACAAUCUGACAUGUUGAUGGGUUUUUUCUUACAUGGACAUAGUUUUAGUCAAGUAAAGGAACACUAUUUUUUCAACAAUGAUUGUUGGAAAAGAAAUCACUGUUUGUGAGAAAAGCUGCAAUUUGACAGGAGUUUCAAUUAUUUAAACUCAAGACGUCAAUUUACGAUUUGGAUGUUUUUCAACAUCCCCCAAUUGUCAGCAUAGAUUUACAGGUUUUGGGCUUUCAACGUAGAUAACGAAUGUCUCCCACAAGCCUUUUUCAUUGAUGUCUGGACAUUCAACUAUAGAUUGAUGUUCUAAUUGAAAGACCAUGCUGAAAUAUCAAUCAUCUCCAAAAAAUCAUUGUUUUUGCCAAUUGCCAUAAUUUGUGUUCCAACGAAAGGUUCUUUUUAUUUGUUGGAAACUAUGUCCUUUAGGGAAAAUUUGACAUGUCGAACUUGAACAGUUAGAAAUCUUAAUAAACUAACAAAUCGAAAAGUGGUGGUGUCUUAAUAUUAUUGUCUAAUUUGCAAUUUUGUUCAAAUGUUGUACAAUCUUUAAAGCAAUUCGCUCUACUUCUUUAUAUUUACAAUAUAACCGCCUCCCUCCUUUAGAGUGCGCACAAGCAAGCAAUAAAAUUACUAUUAGUUCAAGUAAUGUACAUGUACUUUGUGAUAAACAAUUGUGAUAGACUGAUAGGGAUUUGAAAUAGGACCUUUUGUUUGACUUAACUUUGUUACUAUGUUGAAUGUCCAUGAUAAAAACCUGUUAGCUUUUGAAUGAUUAUCAUUUAUUAUUUGAAUAUCAUGAACAGCAAUUAAUGUUCUUUUCUUUUAUUUAUGUUUGGUAUUCUGAUGUUGCUUGAAGUUGUAGAUUUAAAGCACACUAUAUUUAAGUUUGUAACAUCGAUUCUAAAAAUCUAAGUCAGAUUUUCAAUUGGAGUCGAGCUUUUGUGAUUAUGAAAUAUAACUAGGGAUUUAAGAUAUACUUCACAAGUCACGCUGUAAUGUGUUUGGUACUUAAUCCAUUUUAUCUGAUUCUCCUGUUUGCUAUGGACAUCAACAUAUUCAGGAACCAAACUCCAAUUUAUUCAGUUGUUAAUUUCCUUCAUUUUCAUGAUGCAUGUGUUUUUUUGAUUAUAUAGGGUGGAAAGAGCUGCAAAGAAAGUGAGGUAAGCAGCCGCAGUAUAACGUAAUAUAUUUUGAAAUUUUAAAUUAAUUACUGUAGAUUUUGGACUUCGUAAUGCCAAAUGUUCUCAUGUAAUCUUUAGCAUGAGCUGAUUGAAUAAGAUCAACUGGUAAAUCAAUGGAUUUCAAUGGCUCAUGUCCUAUUUUAGAGCUCUUAAAUUUUGAACUCCUAAAAUGUAGGUGCUGUAGAGAAUUUUGCUCUUUCAUAUCAUAUGUAUACCUUGAUUUCAUAAUUUGCAUCCCAUUUACAUAGUUUAGGCUGGUUCUUUGUGGAAAGAUGUGGGAGGGAAAAAGUUGUUCUAAGAGGUCUUUUAGAAUGAAGAUAAUGUUCUAUUAGGCCAUUUUUUGUUAAAAAUCAUUAAAUUAGUAGUAGUUAAUAAUACAGUGAAAAUCAUGGCCGGGGUAUUUCAGCAUUUUGGCAAUUACUAGAUAAACCAAAUCUUUGAAAUAAAAAUUAUGUAGACACUUUUUGCUUCAUCAUUCGGUUUGUUAGAUAUAAACAUUCCUAACACCAAUGAACUUGAUGUAGAAAAGAGAUUUGAAUUUUAACUGAUCUUGUGUUGCUAUUAUUUGGAAACUACUAUUGUGCUAAUGUCUACAAUCAGGCUUCAUAUUCUAUUUUGGUGUGGCCUAAUUGUCCGAGUUCUCAUUUAACGCAAAACGGUAAGUAUUGCAUAAUCAUUAAGUCGGAGUUCUUAUAAUUGAUAUAUGGUUUAUUAAUUACACAAUUAUGAUUUAAUUUGAGUUGAUGCAUAGGAUAGGAGUGUGCCUCCUUUAAUUACAUGAAAUGGGAUGGACUGGUAAUGAUCUACAGGUAUUAAAUUACUCAUAGUAAUAUUGGGGUUGUUUUAAUGUUUAUUAAGCAUAACUGGCAGAUGUAGAAGGCAUAUUUGUGUUAUUUAUAUACCUGCCUAAUGCAUUAAUUUACAGGGUGGAGCCUUUCAAACUUUACUAUUAUGGUGUGCUAAAAAUGGGAUUUUUUUUAAUUUCUAAAACAUAUGGAGUCUCAAUAUCUGUUUAUACUUUGGCUUUGGAAUUUCACUUUUUUCUUAUGCCUAUGGUCUUAAUGUUCUAUAUGAGAUACGCUUUGUUAUUAUUGCUAUUGCUAUUGCUAUUGCUAUUAUUUGAAUAUGUAGGAUAUUUUUAAUAUGAUUUAAACUACUCGAAUAUUAUGAUUUAUUGAUUAUUUUAA